CAGCCACCGCCAGGACAAGCAGCAUGUGAAGACGCUGGUAAGCCACCAGCCACGUGGCAAGAGCCACAUUUAAAAAGAACAGACGGAGACCGUCUCUCAAAAUAUCCGAAAACACAGAGUUUGCUUGCAGUCCUGGAAUUGUAGCUCUCCCUUGGCGUAACUAGCUACCUCCUUUCCUAUGUAACCCUACAAUGCAAACAGAGCCACCCCCGUGGGAAAAUUCAGCCAGGUCUCAUAUAGGCUAUGUUCUCACAGAAACUGUGGAGAAUUUGGAGUACACAUUGUGGUACAUGUGGACAUUCCUGCCGUGGCCGUAUUCAUUCAUGUCUGCCUGUACACUUACAUAUUGUGCUUUAUUUUUCAUGUAUAUCAGAAAAUAAUACUCAUUUCCUUCUGUUACUAACUUUUCGCACCCAAUAAAAAUAUUUUUAUUAUUUUAAA
Non-coding RNA from Peromyscus maniculatus bairdii (prairie deer mouse), 441 nucleotides. The record is from RefSeq and is a predicted model, not a curated record. Lineage: Eukaryota; Metazoa; Chordata; Mammalia; Rodentia; Cricetidae.